UAGGGAAUCUUCGGCAAUGGGGGGAACCCUGACCGAGCAACGCCGCGUGAGUGAAGAAGGUUUUCGGAUCGUAAAGCUCUGUUGUUAAGGAAGAACGAGUGUGAGAAUGGAAAGUUCAUGCUGUGACGGUACUUAACCAGAAAGGGACGGCUAACUAUGUGCCAGCAGCCGCGGUAAUACGUAGGUCCCGAGCGUUGUCCGGAUUUAUUGGGCGUAAAGCGAGCGCAGGCGGUUAGAAAAGUCUGAAGUGAAAGGCAGUGGCUCAACCAUUGUAGGCUUUGGAAACUGUUUAACUUGAGUGCAGAAGGGGCGAGUGGAAUUCCAUGUGUAGCGGUGAAAUGCGUAGAUAUAUGGAGGGACACCGGUGGCGAAAGCGGCUCUCUGGUCUGUAACUGACGCUGAGGCUCGAAAGCGUGGGGAACGAACAGG
Molecule: ribosomal RNA, 429 nt
Filed under: Verrucomicrobiota bacterium
Lineage: Bacteria; Pseudomonadati; Verrucomicrobiota
Description: Verrucomicrobia bacterium partial 16S ribosomal RNA
Rfam family: Bacterial small subunit ribosomal RNA
Source: RNAcentral